UAGGAGGUAGUGUAACGGAAGCACUAGGGGUUUUGAUCUCCUAAGAAUGGGUUCGAAUCCCUUUUUCCUAA
This 71-nucleotide transfer RNA is filed under the name Gymnothorax reticularis. Its description in RNAcentral is "tRNA-Gln". It matches the Rfam family "tRNA". From Rfam's summary of the family: Transfer RNA (tRNA) molecules are approximately 80 nucleotides in length. Their secondary structure includes four short double-helical elements and three loops (D, anti-codon, and T loops). RNAcentral also lists the same sequence under 1 other name. Lineage: Eukaryota; Metazoa; Chordata; Actinopteri; Anguilliformes; Muraenidae. The record is from RNAcentral.